GACGAACGCUGGCGGCGUGCCUAAUACAUGCAAGUCGAACGCAGUGGGGACGGGUGAGUAACACGUGGGUAACCUCCCAUCAGAGGGGAUAACACUUGGCAACAGGUGCUAAACCGAUCCUGAUGGAUGGACCCGCCGUGCAUUAGCUAGUUGGUGAGGUAACGGCCGACCAGGGCCACGAUGCAUAGCAGACCAGAGAGGGUGAUGGGCCAGACUGGAACUGAAACACGGCCCAGUCUCCUACGGGAGGCAGCAGUGGAGAAUCUUCGACAAUGGACGAAAGACUGACCGAGCAACGCCGCGUGAGUGAAGAAGGUUUUCGGAUCGUAAAACUCUGUUGUUAGGGAAGCGGUAUCUAACGAGAAAGCCACGGCUAACUACGUGCCAGCAGCCGCGGUAAUAC
This 403-nucleotide ribosomal RNA is filed under the name uncultured bacterium. RNAcentral's name for it is "partial 16S ribosomal RNA". It matches the Rfam family "Bacterial small subunit ribosomal RNA", at positions 28 to 526 of the family's 1533-position model. The record is from RNAcentral.